GACGAACGCUGGCGGCGUGCCUAAUACAUGCAAGUCGAGCGCAGGAAGCCGUCUGAACCCUUCGGGGGGACGACGGUGGAAUGAGCGGCGGACGGGUGAGUAACACGUAAAGAACCUGCCCAUAGGUCUGGGAUAACCACGAGAAAUCGGGGCUAAUACCGGAUGUGUCAUCGGACCGCAUGGUCCGCUGAUGAAAGGCGCUCCGGCGUCGCCCAUGGAUGGCUUUGCGGUGCAUUAGCUAGUUGAUGGGGUAACGGACCACCAAGGCGACGAUGCAUAGCCGACCUGAGAGGGUGAUCGGCCACACUGGGACUGAGACACGGCCCAGACUCCUACGGGAGGCAGCAGUAGGGAAUCUUCCACAAUGGACGAAAGUCUGAUGGAGCAACGCCGCGUGAACGAUGAAGGCUUUCGGGUCGUAAAGUUCUGUUGUAAGGGAAGAACAAGUGCCGCAGGCAAUGGCGGCACCUUGACGGUACCUUGCGAGAAAGCCACGGCUAACUACGUGCCAGCCGCCGCCGUAA
This 524-nucleotide ribosomal RNA is filed under the name uncultured bacterium. RNAcentral describes it as "partial 16S ribosomal RNA". It matches the Rfam family "Bacterial small subunit ribosomal RNA", at positions 28 to 523 of the family's 1533-position model. The record is from RNAcentral.